GAUGAACGCUGGCGGCGUGCCUAAUACAUGCAAGUCGAGCGAACGGACGAGAAGCUUGCUUCUCUGAUGUUAGCGGCGGAUGGGUGAGUAACACCUGGCCAACAUACCUAUAAGACCGGGAUAACAUCGGGACACCGUCGCUAAUACCGGAUGAUAUUUUGAACCUCAUUGUUCAAAAGAGCAAGACGGUCUUGCUGUCACUUCUAGAUGGAUCCGCGUUGCAUUAGCUAGCUGGUAAGGUAACGGCUUACCAAGGCAACGAUGCAUAGCCGACCUGAGAGGGGGAUCGGGCGGACUGGAGGUGAGAGACGGUCCGGACUCCGACGGGAGGCAGCAGUAGAGAAACUUCCGCGAUGGGCGCAGGCAUGACGGGGCGACGCAGGGUGAGUGAUGGAGGGCUGCGGAACGUAAAACGGGGUGAAUAGGGAAGAACAUGUGAGGAAGGAACUGAGCACGUCGAGACGGUAACUAAUCAGAUAGCCACGGCUAACUACGUG
RNAcentral lists this ribosomal RNA (497 nucleotides) under uncultured bacterium. RNAcentral describes it as "partial 16S ribosomal RNA". It matches the Rfam family "Bacterial small subunit ribosomal RNA", at positions 28 to 507 of the family's 1533-position model. The record is from RNAcentral.